Molecule: ribosomal RNA, 550 nt
Filed under: Streptococcus sanguinis
Lineage: Bacteria; Bacillati; Bacillota; Bacilli; Lactobacillales; Streptococcaceae
Description: bacterial SSU rRNA
Rfam family: Bacterial small subunit ribosomal RNA
Source: RNAcentral
CGAACGGGUGAGUAACGCGUAGGUAACCUGCCUGGUAGCGGGGGAUAACUAUUGGAAACGAUAGCUAAUACCGCAUAAAAUUGAUUAUUGCAUGAUAAUUAAUUGAAAGAUGCAACUGCAUCACUACCAGAUGGACCUGCGUUGUAUUAGCUAGUUGGUGAGGUAACGGCUCACCAAGGCGACGAUACAUAGCCGACCUGAGAGGGUGAUCGGCCACACUGGGACUGAGACACGGCCCAGACUCCUACGGGAGGCAGCAGUAGGGAAUCUUCGGCAAUGGGGGGAACCCUGACCGAGCAACGCCGCGUGAGUGAAGAAGGUUUUCGGAUCGUAAAGCUCUGUUGUAAGAGAAGAACGGGUGUGAGAGUGGAAAGUUCACACUGUGACGGUAUCUUACCAGAAAGGGACGGCUAACUACGUGCCAGCAGCCGCGGUAAUACGUAGGUCCCGAGCGUUGUCCGGAUUUAUUGGGCGUAAAGCGAGCGCAGGCGGUUAGAUAAGUCUGAAGUUAAAGGCUGUGGCUUAACCAUAGUAUGCUUUGGAAACUGUU